Molecule: ribosomal RNA, 425 nt
Filed under: uncultured bacterium
Lineage: Bacteria
Description: partial 16S ribosomal RNA
Rfam family: Bacterial small subunit ribosomal RNA
Source: RNAcentral
GUGGGGAAUAUUGGACAAUGGGCGCAAGCCUGAUCCAGCCAUGCCGCGUGAGUGAUGAAGGCCUUAGGGUUGUAAAGCUCUUUCACCGAUGAAGAUAAUGACGGUAGUCGGAGAAGAAGCCCCGGCUAACUUCGUGCCAGCAGCUGCGGUAAUACGAAGGGGGCUAGCGUUGUUCGGAUUUACUGGGCGUAAAGCGCACGUAGGCGGUUUGUUAAGUCAGGGGUGAAAUCCCGGAGCUCAACUCCGGAACUGCCUUUGAUACUGGCAAGCUAGAGUACGGAAGAGGUAAGUGGAACUCCUAGUGUAGAGGUGGAAUUCGUAGAUAUUAGGAAGAACACCAGUGGCGAAGGCGGCUUACUGGUCCGGAACUGACGCUGAGGUGCGAAAGCGUGGGGAGCAAACAGGAUUAGAUACCCGGGUAGUCC